This 407-nucleotide ribosomal RNA is filed under the name uncultured Sphingomonas sp. RNAcentral describes it as "bacterial SSU rRNA". It matches the Rfam family "Bacterial small subunit ribosomal RNA", at positions 355 to 775 of the family's 1533-position model. The record is from RNAcentral. Lineage: Bacteria; Pseudomonadati; Pseudomonadota; Alphaproteobacteria; Sphingomonadales; Sphingomonadaceae.
UGGGGAAUAUUGGACAAUGGGGAACCGUAGCAUCCAGCCAAUGCCGCAGUGAGUGAUGAAAGGCCUUAGGGUUGUAAAGCUCUUUUACCCGGGAUGAUAAUGACAGUACCGGGAGAAUAAGCUCCGGCUAACUCCGUGCCAGCAGCCGCGGUAAUACGGAGGGAGCUAGCGUUGUUCGGAAUUACUGGGCGUAAAGCGCACGUAGGCGGCUUUGUAAGUUAGAGGUGAAAGCCUGGAGCUCAACUCCAGAAUUGCCUUUGAUACUGCAUGGCUUGAAUCCAGGAGAGGUGAGUGGAAUUCCGAGUGUAGAGGUGAAAUUCGUAGAUAUUCGGAAGAACACCAGUGGCGAAGGCGGCUCACUGGACUUGGUAUUGACGCUGAGGUGCGAAAGCGUGGGGAGCAAAACA